This 607-nucleotide long non-coding RNA is filed under the name Equus caballus (horse). RNAcentral's name for it is "lncRNA (ENSECAG00000056295.1)". Lineage: Eukaryota; Metazoa; Chordata; Mammalia; Perissodactyla; Equidae. The record is from RNAcentral.
AUGACAACCAGCAGAAGAACGUUGGGCCAGAAAAAAGCAUUGAGCUUGAGGGACUAGACUAAUCAAAAAAUGGAAUAACAUGGCAACAAUUACACUGAUGAGUGAGAGGGAAGCGGCACAUGCAUUCAGACACCUAUGGCAUCGCAGGCUCCGCGCAUUCAGCGUUUCGUGUUUAGGGCCUUGUGUUUUUGAGAGCAGACUCAUGAGGGGCUGUUGUGUUCACCAUAGCACCAGGCCUGGGAGCAUUGGGGAAGCUCAAAACUGUCUGUUGAACAAAAGGAGAGAAGAGCCAUGGAAGCCAUCUAUACUAUGUUGUCUUGAUCCUUCAUGCAAAAUCAGAGACAAAUCUCACUUCUGGGCUGCUUACUUAAUGGGUUGUCUCCUACCCUUGCUGCAGGAAUGCUGUUCACAAUGGACCGAUGGACAUUUUAUUGAAAAAAGAAUAGAGCCAGAGAAGCUAAGCUUUUAUCUACCACCAUGGAAACAGGCGAAUCAUGGUUUCUCAAAGUCCUAACCUCAAUAAGCAUCCCAAACUGACAAUUGACGUUAGAGGAAGUCGAGGAUAGAGUGAUAACCUGGAAUCACCAAUAAAAGUUAUUGUAACUGA